Molecule: unclassified non-coding RNA, 86 nt
Filed under: Pseudomonas synxantha
Lineage: Bacteria; Pseudomonadati; Pseudomonadota; Gammaproteobacteria; Pseudomonadales; Pseudomonadaceae
Source: RNAcentral
GUGGGAGGGGGCUUGCUCCCGAUAGCUGUGGAUCAGUCAGUACAAGGUGUCUGACAGACCGCUAUCGGGAGCGAGCCCCCUCCCAC